RNAcentral lists this ribosomal RNA (455 nucleotides) under uncultured bacterium. RNAcentral describes it as "bacterial SSU rRNA". It matches the Rfam family "Bacterial small subunit ribosomal RNA", at positions 28 to 507 of the family's 1533-position model. The record is from RNAcentral.
GAUGAACGCUGGCGGUAUGCCUAACACAUGCAAGUCGUACGAGGGUUUUUAACUCUAGUGGCGGACGGGUGAGUAACACGUGAGAAUUUGCCUUUAGGAGGGGGAUAACAAUCGGAAACGGUUGCUAAUACCCCAUAUGCUUUCGAGUGAAAUGGAUUUUUCCGCCUAAAGAGAAGCUUGCGUCUGAUUAGCUAGUUGGCGGUGUAACGGACCACCAAGGCGACGAUCAGUAGGGGUUCUGAGAGGAAGGUCCCCCACACUGGCACUGAGAUACGGGCCAGACUCCUACGGGAGGCAGCAGUAGGGAAUAUUGGGCAAUGGUCGGAAGACUGACCCAGCCAUGCCGCGUGCAGGAAGACGGCCCUCUGGGUCGUAAACUGCUUUUAUCUGGGAAGAAAAAGGCCAUGCGUGGCAAAUUGCCGGUACCAGAUGAAUAAGCACCGGCUAACUCCGUG